CACCUAUCAGCAGGCCCACGGAGACUCCGGCGAGGAGGAAGAAGAGGAGCAGGGCGAUGACGGCACACCUGGCGCAGGUGCAGCAGGAGGGAGCAGGAGACUGUUCUGGAGAUGACCACGGACCUCCUUCUGCCUUCCUCACAUCCAUGGUGGACUUGGAGAUGUCCACUCACAUGUGCGCUGACAUUAUCCUGCACAGAAAGACCAGUAAACGGACACAUCAGCUCACCUAUUUGUACCACCUGAGCCUGCAGGCUUAGACUGUUUCUUUAAGGUCACACCCACCAGGCGCACCUUUGUGAAAAGACCCUCCUUGUUCUCAGCGCUCCCAGUCAUCUGACCCAGGAGGCGGAGCUAAGAGGAUGGGUUUUUUUUUUCCACCUGGCAACCUUCUCCCGCCUUCACUGGGCCUCAAAUGGUGCCUAAAUGUUAAAGAAAUAAACAAGGCAGCAUUAGCGACUUGGUACAAAGGAAGGUGUGCACAGCACGGCAAGCGGCUGCAUUGACUGAUGCUAUCCUGAAUAUGUUGCUAACUGACGUGAGGCUACUAUCAAUGGUGGAGGAUGAAGGUUUUAGACAAAUGAUUCACAUCCUCAACCCUGGUUAUACUCUUCCCUGGAGGACCCAUGUUAACAAAGUGAUGGAGAGGAAGUACGAGCAGACAUUCCAAACAGUGUAAACUGACAUAAAAGCCACCCAGAGCCAAAUUGCUCUCACUACUGAUGUGUGGGCAAGUGUAGCGACGGAAGCCUACCUUGGCAAUACAUGCCGUUACAUUGAAGAAGAAUGGAAUAUGAAGUCAAUCUGCCUUACGACCAUGCCACUAGAACAGAUCUGGGCAAAUUAAGGCCCGGGGGCCACACGCGCCCCGUUAAGCUUUUCCAAUCCCGCCUGCCGGACAUUCCCAAAUACUUUUUUUUGAUCUUUAAGAUGGAAGUGUAGCUGCUAUUAUGAUGUGCAGUGAUGUUUUCCAACGACUGUAAGUCUUGAACGAUACAAAGUAUUUCAAUGGUUGGAAUCUGCAUGAUGUAUUAGUUACUAUGGUCAUCUAAUUAGUUGCUAUGGUCAUCUAAUUAGUUACUAUGGUAAUGUAAGUCACAGCAGCUCAAACGGCACCAAGCACUGUGGGUGGGGAGCGUUUCUACAGAGUGUUUCAUGACCGGCCAGCCUAAAAUGUGGGUGUCAGAGACAGAUGCACAAGGGGACAGUUUUACAACAAAGUUCUAAAGCUUAGUGACAUAUCAAAUAUAUCACGUUGUAGGUGUUUUUUUUUUUUUUUAGCUCUUUGGGUUCAUAUUUCAUUGUGCUUGCUGCAUUUUGCUUGAUUGAAAGCGGUAGCAAAUGGAUGGAUGGAUGGAUGUAAAAUAUGUUGAUUAAGAGCGGGUGUGACGUUUGUGAAGUGAAUUAUAAUUAUAUAGCGCUUUUUCUCUGGUGAUUCAAAGCGCUUUUACAUAGCAAAACCCAAUAUCUAAUUUUUACAUUUAAACAAGUGUGGGUGGCACUGGGAGCAGGUCGGUAAAGUGUCUUGCCCAAGGACACAACGGCAGUGACUAGGAUGGCGGAAGCGGGGAUCAAACCUGCAACCCUCAAGUUGCUGGCACGGCCGCUCAAUUAGUUUCUCAUGUUAUAUUCCUAUUUUACUGUUAUAUUUUUAUUCCCAUUGUUGCUUUUUAUUUUUAUUCUUAUUGUAAUAUUUCUCUAUUUUGUUUCCAUUUAAACCCCCAUUAUUUACGUUUUACUUUUUUAAAUUGAUCUCAACUCUGUACACUGC
Nerophis ophidion (straightnose pipefish) is the source of this 1771-nucleotide long non-coding RNA. RefSeq lists it as uncharacterized. The transcript has 4 exons. The record is from RefSeq and is a predicted model, not a curated record. NCBI's taxonomy places the organism in Eukaryota, Metazoa, Chordata, Actinopteri, Syngnathiformes, Syngnathidae.